Syzygium oleosum is the source of this 1401-nucleotide long non-coding RNA. RefSeq lists it as uncharacterized. The transcript is spliced from 3 exons. NCBI's taxonomy places the organism in Eukaryota, Viridiplantae, Streptophyta, Magnoliopsida, Myrtales, Myrtaceae. The record is from RefSeq and is a predicted model, not a curated record.
CUGGAUGCUCUGCAAAUUUAUCCUCCUCAGCAAAGUUAUGGUCCCCAGAGGCAAGCUGAAAGAAGAAAUCCCAUGCCAAUGAGCACUAUGGAUUAAGCCACCGGUGGAAGGGAUCCAGAUCAAGGACAUAGGAGAGAUCCGGUGCCUUCAUAUCAGGUAAACUACAAUCAACAGGGUCAUAACAACAAUUACUAUCAGCAAACGGAGAGACCUGCCCCAAGGAGAUAGAUGGAGCUCUGCACCUCCAGUGCAGAAUGAUUAUAGGAGAGACAAUCGGAACUAUGCACCUACUUAUGGCAGUAUCAAGCAUACAUCUCAUAAAUUUAAUCAUGCACACGUGAUAUCACUUAUCCACGGGCAAUAAAAAAGGCAACCAAACUGAGACAAAAUCCAUCUAAUUCAUGCUUAUUCCACAAAUUCCAGCACAUGUUCAGAAUUGUAACAGAGCAUACAGGACCACAGAUUGUCAUCAUUUGAUGACCAAUUGACAUGAAUUGAAGCCGUAUCUUCCUACAAGCGCAUAUGAGUCUACUUCAUCAAAAUGGCAUCAAUCCAAGACCAAAUAAAUACCGAAUUUAAACAAAGCAAUCACGGUCAGCAUGCAAUACUUCGAUUCUAGCAUAUUCAAGUUCGGUUAUGACCAUAAUUCUCGCAAAAUUGGCAUGAGAUUCACCAUAUUAGUUUCCUAGCAUGAACAUAUAUGAUCCCAUAACCAAACUAGCCUCAAGAUGGAAUCAAAAGCACACCAAAUCAGAGAUAUCAAGACAGAGUAAGCAUACACGGAUCGAUUUCCAGUAGAAUUUAAUUCAUUCAUGACAUAAUUUCUUUUCAAGUGAACAUGAAAUUCAUCAUAACACAAUCUUAUAUCACUACAAAUGCUUGCUUAAGUGGAAUGGCACAAAAUCAAGGACCAAUUGACAUCAGCUCAGAGCCGCAACAGUCGCAAAUCAUCGUGUCUUGACAAGGUUCCAGCAGGUCCAAACCAAGUUUGAAAUUGAAUACCUAUGAUAUUUUAUGAAGAAACAGAACUCAAAUACACUUACAUGACCAGAAUAGAUGAACAAUCUAGUAAUGAAGGAAAUUCUCGGCCAAGAACUGAAUCAAAAUACACACUGAUUCAGUUCAGGAAUUUCAUCAAACAGGUGGUAUACAUUUCGGCCAAGGAGCACCAGAUCAAAUCAUUAAUACAGCCUCAAUCACAGUCGAUUUGCACACAGAUGGUAGCAAUAGCUCCCAGCCUCUGCUUCGUAUAUAAAGCAACGGAAAACAGAGUUUAGUUGAACGAAGAAUGAUUAGCUAAGCUAACAGAAGCAACGUCAUGGAAUGGAAACGUCGAAGCAGGCAUGACUUGGGGAUGCUCAGAAAAUCACCCGAGUUCCUUCGAUCGAUGCUCUCUGUUCU